This 440-nucleotide ribosomal RNA is filed under the name uncultured bacterium. RNAcentral describes it as "partial 16S ribosomal RNA". It matches the Rfam family "Bacterial small subunit ribosomal RNA", at positions 338 to 795 of the family's 1533-position model. The record is from RNAcentral.
CCUACGGGAGGCAGCAGUGGGGGAUAUUGCACAAUGGGGGAAACCCUGAUGCAGCGACGCCGCGUGGGUGAAGAAGCGCCUCGGCGCGUAAAGCCCUGUCAGCAGGGAAGAAAAUGACGGUACCUGAAGAAGAAGCCACGGCUAACUACGGGCCAGCAGCCGCGGUAAUACGUAGGGGGCAAGCGUUAUCCGGAUUUACUGGGUGUAAAGGGGGCGCAGACGGGGAAGCAAGCCAGGAGUGAAAGCCCGGGGCCCAACCCCGGGACUGCUCUUGGAACUGCGUGGCUAGAGUGCAGGAGGGGCAGGCGGAAUUCCUGGUGUAGCGGUGAAAUGCGUAGAUAUCAGGAGGAACACCGGUGGCGAAGGCGGCCUGCUGGACUGCAACUGACGUUGAGGCCCGAAAGCGUGGGGAGCAAACAGGAUUAGAUACCCGGGUAGUC